Molecule: non-coding RNA, 93 nt
Organism: Neurospora hispaniola
Lineage: Eukaryota; Fungi; Ascomycota; Sordariomycetes; Sordariales; Sordariaceae
Source: the annotation of a RefSeq genome assembly
GGGCAAUUGGUCUAGUGGUAUGAUUUCCGCUUCGCAUGUCGACUAUUCGGUCAUCUUUGUGGAAGGUCACCGGUUCAAUCCCGGUAUUGUCCA